CUACGGGGCGCAGCAGUGAGGAAUAUUGCACAAUGGGGGGAACCCUGAUGCAGCAACGCCGCGUGGAGGAUGACGCAUUUCGGUGUGUAAACUCCUUUUAUAUGUCAAGAAAAUGACGGUAGCAUAUGAAUAAGCACCGGCUAACUCAGUGCCAGCAGCCGCGGUAAUACUGAGGGUGCAAGCGUUGUUCGGAUUUACUGGGUGUAAAGGGUGCGUAGGCGGUAUAGUAAGUGGGAUGUGAAAUCUCCGAGCUCAACUUGGAAACUGCAUUCCAUACUGCUAAACUAGAGUAUCGAAGAGGCAAAUGGAAUUCUUGGUGUAAGGGUGAAAUCUGCAGAUAUCAAGAAGAACUCCAGUGGCGAAGGCGAUUUGCUGGUCGAAUACUGACGCUGAGGUACGAAAGCGUGGGGAGCGAACGGGAUUAGAUACCCGCGUAGUC
Molecule: ribosomal RNA, 439 nt
Filed under: uncultured bacterium
Lineage: Bacteria
Description: partial 16S ribosomal RNA
Rfam family: Bacterial small subunit ribosomal RNA
Source: RNAcentral